RNAcentral lists this ribosomal RNA (274 nucleotides) under uncultured bacterium. RNAcentral describes it as "partial 16S ribosomal RNA". It matches the Rfam family "Bacterial small subunit ribosomal RNA", at positions 523 to 796 of the family's 1533-position model. The record is from RNAcentral.
AUACGGAGGGUGCAAGCGUUACUCGGAAUCGCUGGGCGUAAAGCGCGCGCAGGCGGUCUUUUAAGUUGGAUGUGAAAGCCUACGGCUCAACCGUAGAACUGCAUCCAAAACUAUUAGACUAGAGUGUGAGAGAGGAAGAUGGAAUUAGUUGUGUAGGGGUAAAAUCCGUAGAGAUAACUAGGAAUACCAAAAGCGAAGGCAAUCUUCUGGAACACUACUGACGCUGAGGCGCGAAAGCGUGGGGAGCAAACAGGAGUAGAAACCCCAGUAGUCC